This 427-nucleotide ribosomal RNA is filed under the name uncultured bacterium. RNAcentral describes it as "bacterial SSU rRNA". It matches the Rfam family "Bacterial small subunit ribosomal RNA", at positions 34 to 507 of the family's 1533-position model. The record is from RNAcentral.
CGCUGGCGGCAUGCCUAACACAUGCAAGUCGAACGAGACCUUCGGGUCUAGUGGCGCACGGGUGCGUAACGCGUGGGAAUCUGCCCCUUGGUUCGGAAUAACAGUUAGAAAUGACUGCUAAUACCGGAUGAUGACGAAAGUCCAAAGAUUUAUCGCCGAGGGAUGAGCCCGCGUAGGAUUAGCUAGUUGGUGAGGUAAAGGCUCACCAAGGCGACGAUCCUUAGCUGGUCUGAGAGGGUGAUCAGCCACACUGGGACUGAGACACGGCCCAGACUCCUACGGGAGGCAGCAGUGGGGAAUAUUGGACAAUGGGCGAAAGCCUGAUCCAGCAAUGCCGCGUGAGUGAUGAAGGCCUUAGGGUCGUAAAGCUCUUUUACCAGGGAUGAUAAUGACAGUACCUGGAGAAUGAGCUCCGGCUAACUCCGUG